Molecule: ribosomal RNA, 464 nt
Filed under: uncultured bacterium
Lineage: Bacteria
Description: partial 16S ribosomal RNA
Rfam family: Bacterial small subunit ribosomal RNA
Source: RNAcentral
CCUACGGGAGGCAGCAGUAGGGAAUUUUCGUCAAUGGGCGCAAGCCUGAACGAGCAAUGCCGCGUGAACGAGGAAGGUCUUCGGAUCGUAAAGUUCUGUUGAAGGGGAAAAAGAUCGGAGAGAGGAAAUGGUCUCCGAUUGAUAUUACCCUUCGAGGAAGUCACGGCUAACUACGUGCCAGCAGCCGCGGUAAUACGUAGGUGGCGAGCGUUAUCCUGAAUGAUUGGGCGAAAGGGGUGCGUAGGCGGCCUGCUAAGCCUGGGGUGAAAGGUACCGGCUCACCCGGUACAGGCUCUGGAAACUGGCGGGCUAGAGAGCAGGAGAGGGCGGUGGAACUCCAUGUGUAGCGGUAAAAUGCGUAGAUAUAUGGAAGAACACCAGUGGCGAAGGCGGCCGCCUGGCCUGUUACUGACGCUGAGGCACGAAAGCGUGGGGAGCAAAUAGGAUUAGAUACCCUGGUAGUC